UCGGAUUGUAGUCUGCAACCCGACUACAUGAAGCUGGAAUCGCUAGUAAUCGCGAAUCAGAAUGUCGCGGUGAAUACGUUCCCGGGUCUUGUACACACCGCCCGUCACACCAUGGGAGUCGGAAAUGCCCGAAGUCAGUGACCCAACCGUAAGGAGGGAGCUGCCGAAGGUGGAGCCGGUAACUGGGGUGAAGUCGUAACAAGGUAUC
RNAcentral lists this ribosomal RNA (208 nucleotides) under uncultured bacterium. RNAcentral describes it as "partial 16S ribosomal RNA". It matches the Rfam family "Bacterial small subunit ribosomal RNA", at positions 1293 to 1500 of the family's 1533-position model. The record is from RNAcentral.